Molecule: long non-coding RNA, 544 nt
Organism: Armigeres subalbatus
Lineage: Eukaryota; Metazoa; Arthropoda; Insecta; Diptera; Culicidae
Exons: 4
Source: RefSeq, a predicted model, not a curated record
AAAUAAUGAAACUGCAUGGUGCAGAAAGUGUCUUUUUCUUUACAGUUUCUGCUGCUGGGCAAGCGGUAGAUCACACGGCUUCUGUACCAUGGUAACUAUUUAAAGUAUUAGUCACUCUUUUUCGCAUCGGUCACUAUUUUCGGUUAUCAUUUUGGUGGCUGCAUUCCGUACCGGUGACGUUCGACGUUUGAUAGUUCAUCAAAUAGCAGCGCUGUUAAAUUUGGUCACCUGUCAGCUACGCUACUGUUUUAGCAGCGCGUUUAGUAGCGACCGGUAAAAUGUCAAUGUAAUGAUACUGCGCUGACAAACGGUUUAUACUCACCACCGAAAUGAAGCUUAUGAUAAAUAAAAUACUGCUGCUUGCUGUUCACUGAUUCAAGAUCGUUCAGUGGCUACCAUUGGCCAAUCUUACCAACGGGAUAUAAUAAGAACUGAUGCAGGUUUAUGCACCCGUAGCCAAGUAACAGUAAUGCGAGUUAAAAUGAGUUAAAAUCAAGUUUUAACUGAUGUAAAAUAAUUUUAAAAUAAAUAAAAAUUGUAAAAC